This 508-nucleotide ribosomal RNA is filed under the name Scleronema sp. 1 JM-2018. RNAcentral describes it as "partial 16S ribosomal RNA". It matches the Rfam family "Bacterial large subunit ribosomal RNA", at positions 1834 to 2557 of the family's 2925-position model. The record is from RNAcentral. Lineage: Eukaryota; Metazoa; Chordata; Actinopteri; Siluriformes; Trichomycteridae.
AACCACAAUGUAUAGGAGGUCUUGCCUGCCCAGUGACUACAAGUUAAACGGCCGCGGUAUUUUGACCGUGCAAAGGUAGCGCAAUCACUUGUCUUUUAAAUGAAGACCUGUAUGAAUGGUGGAACGAGGGCUUAACUGUCUCCCCCUUCAAGUCAAUGAAAUUGAUCUCCCCGUGCAGAAGCGGGCAUAAAAAUAUAAGACGAGAAGACCCUUUGGAGCUUAAGACGUAAGAUCAACUAUGUCAAGAACCAAUAAACUAAAUAGUAACUGAUCCUCAUCUUCGGUUGGGGCGACCACGGGAGACAACAAAGCUCCCACGCGGACUGGGAAUAAACCCAAAACUAAGAGAGACAUCUCUAAGUCGCAGAAUAUCUGACCAAAAAGAUCCGGCCACCGCCGAUCAACGGACCAAGUUACCCUAGGGAUAACAGCGCAAUCCCCUUCCAGAGUCCAUAUCGACAAGGGGGUUUACGACCUCGAUGUUGGAUCAGGACAUCCUAAUGGUGCA